GACGAACGCUGGCGGCGUGCUUAACACAUGCAAGUCGAACGGAAAGGCCCUGCUUUUGUGGGGUGCUCGAGUGGCGAACGGGUGCGUAACACGUGAGUAACCUGCCCUUGACUUUGGGAUAACUUCAGGAAACUGGGGCUAAUACCGGAUAGGAGCUCCUGCUGCAUGGUGGGGGUUGGAAAGUUUCGGCGGUUGGGGAUGGACUCGCGGCUUAUCAGCUUGUUGGUGGGGUAGUGGCUUACCAAGGCUUUGACGGGUAGCCGGCCUGAGAGGGUGACCGGCCACAUUGGGACUGAGGUACGGCCCAGACGCCUACGGGAGGCAGCAGGGGGGAAUAUUGCACAAUGGGCGGAAGCCUGAUGCAGCAACGCCGCGUGCGGGAUGACGGCCUUCGGGUUGUAAACCGCUUUCGCCUGUGACGAAGCGUGAGUGACGGUAAUGGGUAAAGAAGCACCGGCUAACUACGUG
This 468-nucleotide ribosomal RNA is filed under the name uncultured bacterium. Its description in RNAcentral is "partial 16S ribosomal RNA". It matches the Rfam family "Bacterial small subunit ribosomal RNA", at positions 28 to 507 of the family's 1533-position model. The record is from RNAcentral.